GGAGGUGAGCACCACGCCCCUCCCGAAUCUCCACCCUCUCUUUACAGACCCCAAAACCGAAAGAGUAAGCGGAGGACCAUCACCGGUGAGGCGGGGGCGACCCGGGGGAGGCUGGGGGCCUGUGAGCUGUCUUGAAGGGCGGGGGGCUCUUCCCCGAGCUGGGGAAACGCGUUUCCAAACCCAGGACCCCACCGCCCCUGCCUUCUGUUGUUCAUCUCGGCAGACAUCCCCUGGGUCCCUAUGAGUGUCAAACUGUGGCCCCAGAAUUGACCUGGACGAGAGGAUGGGUCGUGUCCGGAAGAUGUGCAGAUCUGAUCUACCUGUCCAAGCACCCCCAACCCCUCCUGGAGAAGGCCUCAUCUAACCCGCAGGAAGUUGCCGAGGAGGUACCCGGAGAAAAACUCAGUAUGUGUUUCCAAGAAAGUUGAACCGUAGCUGACCCUUCCCUGGUCAACGGGAAGACCACAGAAGAGAGCCACCAGGGAAAUCAAUUACAUUGGCCUCUCUAGCCAGCUGCCCAGCCCAGCACGCAGCCACCACCCCCUGCCAUUUCCACCACUCUAUGCUCCUCUCUGCCCAACCCUUGUCUUCAAAUUGUACCCAGGACUCAGACUUGCUCAUUACCAGUGAAGCACAUGCCAGCCAUGAGCUAGAACAGCCCACAGCAUCUGCCAGGCUUUAGAGAUGGUGUCUCUACUAAACCGAGAGCAGAACUGACACUCAGAGCCACUGGAGCAGAAAUUGCCAGGGCUUGAUUGGAUCCUCCCUUCCCCGAAUGCUGCCACGACCUCCUGAGCAUGUGAACUUCUCCGAUCCAAUUGAGUGUGACCCAUUUUCUCUACUGAAACCAAAUAAAACACCC
This 862-nucleotide long non-coding RNA is filed under the name Marmota monax (woodchuck). Lineage: Eukaryota; Metazoa; Chordata; Mammalia; Rodentia; Sciuridae. The record is from RNAcentral.